RNAcentral lists this transfer RNA (636 nucleotides) under uncultured bacterium. Its description in RNAcentral is "16S-23S intergenic spacer". The stretch from base 212 to 285 matches the Rfam family "tRNA". The record is from RNAcentral.
UUUCUAAGGAUGAUGUCUUCGAUCCAUGACCACCUCGGUCGUGUCUGGACAUCGCUUAGACACUAUGGCGCAACUUGCCGCCGCCUUCGUCUCCCUUCCUUUCCGUCGAUCUCCGGCGCAUGCGUACGCACAAGGGUGCGAUCGCGCGCCGGAUGUUCGCGAUUGUCUUGGCGAAGCGGCCCUGAAACGAGUUCACGACGAAUGCCGUUUCGGGCUCGUAGCUCAGGUGGUUAGAGCGCACGCCUGAUAAGCGUGAGGUCGGACGUUCAACUCGUCCCGGGCCCACCACUUGAUGAUGAAUGCCGAUCGAUCGAAAGCGAAAUCGGGGCCAUAGCUCAGUUGGGAGAGCGCUAGCUUUGCAAGCUUGAGGUCACCGGUUCGAUCCCGGUUGGCUCCACCAUCCUUGAAAGGAUGGUCGGCCAGGACAGCGAACAAUCCGUGACGGAAACACCAGUUUCGAAGAUGGGCGCUGAUAAGCGCGCGUCUGCGAAUAUUUGACAUUGUGAAGGCGAGGAUUAGCCGGUUUGCACAACCGGUUGAUCUGACAAUCUCGAUCUAAUGAUCGCGUCUCAUGCGCCAGAACCCGGAUGCAAAUCUGGGCUUAUCUCUGGGCAUGGGACACCAAUGCUGAGCGAU